This 423-nucleotide ribosomal RNA is filed under the name uncultured bacterium. RNAcentral's name for it is "bacterial SSU rRNA". It matches the Rfam family "Bacterial small subunit ribosomal RNA", at positions 359 to 775 of the family's 1533-position model. The record is from RNAcentral.
GAUCUUCUGCAAUGGGCGCAAGCCUGACAGAGCGACGCCGCGUGGGGGAGGAAGGCCUUCGGGUUGUAAACCCCUGUUGCCGGUUAAGAAUUCCAGGGCGCGAACAGCGCUACUGGUUGACGAAGGCCGGUGAGGAAGCCACGGCUAACUACGUGCCAGCAGCCGCGGUAAGACGUAGGUGGCAAGCGUUGUUCGGAAUCACUGGGCAUAAAGCGCGCGUAGGCGGCCGAGUCAGUCGGGUGUGAAAGCCUUGAGCUCAACUCAAGAACUGCGCCCGAUACUGCUCGGCUUGAGGGCCGGAGGGGAGAGUGGAAUUCCCGGUGGAGCGGUGAAAUGCGUAGAGAUCGGGAAGAACGCCGGCGGCGAAAGCGACUCUCUGGUCGGUACCUGACGCUGAGGCGCGAAAGCUAGGGGAGCAAACGG